GGCCUCGUAGCUCAGUUGGCUAGAACGUUGGCGGAACUACAGCCUUCCCCUUGCUGGCGUGGAUUCGAAUCCCACCGAGGCCA
Molecule: transfer RNA, 83 nt
Filed under: Schistocephalus solidus
Lineage: Eukaryota; Metazoa; Platyhelminthes; Cestoda; Diphyllobothriidea; Diphyllobothriidae
Rfam family: tRNA
About the family: Transfer RNA (tRNA) molecules are approximately 80 nucleotides in length. Their secondary structure includes four short double-helical elements and three loops (D, anti-codon, and T loops).
Source: Rfam by way of RNAcentral